RNAcentral lists this ribosomal RNA (1470 nucleotides) under Triticum aestivum (bread wheat). RNAcentral describes it as "partial small subunit ribosomal RNA". The record is from RNAcentral. Lineage: Eukaryota; Viridiplantae; Streptophyta; Magnoliopsida; Poales; Poaceae.
AUGGACCAGCAAGUGUUCCUCGGCGUCUCCUGGGGCAAUUUGCUCACCUACAUGAAGCGCAACAGCGGCAUGGAUCCCGACAUGGAUCCCGACAUGGGCGACUACUAUAACGUGGUGCUCUCCUUCGUGUACGACUACAUCCCCGACCCCCCGUCUCCCCCAUCGCCACACUCCCGCUCUCCGGCUUGCCGUGGGUCCCCGACGGCGUCGACCGCAUCAGCUGCCUCCCGGACAAGCCACCUGCUCCCGGACGGCGGAGCGCGCGGUCAGCUCCUCUUCGGUGGUCCUUCUCCCCGCGCCGUCACCGCCGCGGUGUCCCGCGUCCUGGUGGCGCACCCGGGUCCCUUCCGCUGCGUCCACCUCACCCGCACCACCAUGGAUGAGCACCGGGGUGAGAUGGCGCGCUGGCUCGACAUCCUCGUCGCCAAGGGGGUCCAAGAACUCGUUUUUGUCAACCGCCCUUGGCCGCUAGAUCCGCGCCUCCCCGCCACGCUCUUCAGCUGCGCCUCCCUCACCCGCCUCUAUCUCGGCAUCUGGAGGCUCCCGGAAUCCACCGCCGUACCGCGCGGCGCUAGAUUUCCCAACCUCCGGGAGCUCGGCCUCUGCAUGAUUGCGAUGAAGGACCGUGAUCUGGCCUUGCUGCUGGAAAGAAGCCCCGUCUUGGAGUUCCUCCUCAUCAUGGGAUGUCAGAUCGGAGUGCGCCUCCGCCUCGUCAGCCAAAGCCUGCGGUGCCUUCAGCUCAGCAUGUUCUUCUUGGGCGACAUGGACGUGGUGGAUGCCCCUUGUCUGGAGAGACUUUUUCAGUAUUAUUACACUUACACCAACAAAAACUGCUCCACUUCCAGGAUCAAGAUUGGUGGAGCACCUAACCUGCGAAUGCUGGGAUACCUUGAGCCAGGAGGGCAGGAAUUCAAUUUGGCUGGGAGCAAGGAGAGCAUCGUCCAGAUUUUGGGCAUAGAGGUGCAGUUCGGUGUGCGCAGUGUUGUCAAGAAAGUGCCUGGCUUUCUCAGAUGCUUCCCCAACCUGGAGACGCUCCACGUGCAGUCUCACCACAUAUCUGAAGAGCCCACCAGGAAGGUCAAUGUCAAGUUCUGGCUGCAGGGCGGUCCCAUCAAAUGCGUCGUGGAGAGCAUGAGGAAGGUGUUCUUGUACGAGUUCCGAGGGUCGAGAAGCGAGGUUACUUUCCUCAAGUUCGUCGCGGAGAGGGCUCGGGUGCUGGAGCAGAUGGUGGUCGUGGUGUCCACCAAAUCUUUCUCUCCAGGGGAUGAUGUGAGUGCCAAGCUGAAGCCUCUGACCAAUGCAAAAUGGGCGAGUAAAGCUUGCAAACUUGAGCUCUUCAAGAGCCCACCCGCUCAAUGCGGUGUGGCACCCUUCUGUCACAGGCUAGCAAAUGAUUUCUCGUUCCCGGACCCUUUUAACGUCAAAGAUUACUGUGAAGAAAGAAUCGCCGAGUUAACUGUAGUACAGUAG